Cynoglossus semilaevis (tongue sole) is the source of this 2219-nucleotide long non-coding RNA. RefSeq lists it as uncharacterized. The record is from RefSeq and is a predicted model, not a curated record. The transcript is spliced from 4 exons. Lineage: Eukaryota; Metazoa; Chordata; Actinopteri; Pleuronectiformes; Cynoglossidae.
AGUGGGGCUGUUAAUCUGUGACACAUCACGGGUCAAACCCCCCGAUGUAGUCGUCGAUGUCCGACAUGCAAUUAGUGAGAAGAGGGACUGGGGACAGAGACUGAGGAAAAUGAAAGAGCAGCACAGAGGGACACGGAUCAAUGUCACUCUUAUCCUUGUCCAAAUAAUUCUGUUGUGUUUAGCAUUGGUCUUUGUCUGCGUCUAAGUGUUAGCAGUGUUAGCAGUCUGUGCUACUUUCUUUAUCGCCCUCUGUAUUUAAAUAUGUAUAUGAAUAUGGAUAAUUAAUAUUUUAAAUUAUUAUUUAUUUUCUUUAAAAAUGUAGUAAUAUAAGGUAGAAAUUUGAAACCAUGACCAACUGGUCACUUUUCUACAAAUGUCUAAAAAUCUAUAAUCCAAAAACCUUAUCUCAGGUCUGUCUAUAUCUGUCUGUGGUUGAUUAGUUUCAUCAGCUCACCUGUGUCCUGUGGUUCCCUGUUCAUUUGUCUCACUGUUCUCACCUGUGACCCUGUAAAACCUCCUCCUUCACUCACUCUUUGUUCACGGCUUGUUGGAUGUUCAGCGGAUGUUGUUGUUCCUGUUCGACGUUCCUUGCUCCUGCGCUCCUGUUUGUCAGAUGGUUGCCUGUUUCUGGUUUCUCAGUGGUCAUUCAGCAGUGUCUGUGGGACCUCCAGUGCUGUUGCACUCUGCUGAUCCACGGCUGGUUUGCCACAGUGUGCCAUCCCUGCCUCCAGCUCUCUCUUCAUGGCCACUUGACCCUUCAGGCAGUGUGACUGUAGAUCCAGAGCUGCCACAGGAUCAUCGCAGAAACUGAGAGAUUUGGUCAGCUUGGACAGCAGCAGCAGAGCAGAGUGAUGAGUGGCUGACCAGGAGCGCAGCGUUUUAUCUCACCUAACAGGUCCUGUCUGCUUCCCUGCACCUCCAAAUGUAACGAGACCAACAGCAGUGUGCAGGCUGAACCUCUUAGCCAGGUGGGCUGCAGUCCUGGAGGAGGAACAAGCUGCAGAACAACCUGGUGCAACUCUGAGCAGAGGAGACAACUCCUUUUCUGGACACGACUUCCCACUGCUAUAAUGGGAUCGACUGGAUCAUUGACGCACUUGGAUUUGUGAUGGAUGAAGAUGUGUCCAGUUCUCUGGACUCUGGCAGGCUCUAAUCCAAGUCCCACGAGGCUCUGAGCUCGGUCCUUUAUCAAAUUCAGCUGACCCCCCCAACAGGAAAUGAGGACGUCAGGGGCCACUGCUAAGGAGACGGGCGACAGAGUCACAUGUAGUGUGCGAACACUGUGGACAUUGAGAGCAGAUGUGGACAAAAAGACAAUUGAGUUCUAAAUUCAGUGACUCACCCGGCGUUACACGGAGAAAUGAACUGGAAUCCCUGAAACCUCUCCCAUCCUUUGUGUGAGUCUGAGUCUGAUUGGUCCAGCCAAACACAAACCCAGAGUUUACACCCAGGAAUUAUUUAAUGAUCUAAAGGGGAAAUAAAACAAUUUCAGUUCAAAGAAUGCCUAAAAAGAUCACGGAGACUUUUGUCUUUGAGGGAUGAAACUCCAACCAGACUGAGGAGCCUAUUAAAUGUUCUGGACUUAAUUAAUCGGAGGAAGCAGCACAAAACUGAACACAUGAACACUUCCUAUUUCCAGAAAUCUCCUCAAGAUUUUUCACCAAAUCUAAUCACACACACACACAGCAAAAAUUACUCAAUUACAUUAGUCUCUAAAGUCAGUAUGGGGAAAAAAGAAGAAAAAAGAAACUCCUCUAGUCCUUUAGUAUCAAGUGAAAGUAUAAUUGCUCUCAAGUGACUUGAUACCAGUUGCAGUGCUGGGCUUUAACUUGCCUUAUUAGGGGAUUUUUGAAAGUGGCAUGUUUUGAGUGUGUUGGGUUUUCGACUGACUGUACGGGGGAGCAGAUUAGCAUCAUCCAUAGAUGGGAUAUGGAGAUUAAAUUGGCUCUUGUUUUGAUUACUCUGCGACAUGUUGUGAAGUUGUCGUCUGCAACAUAAUGAUGUCUGGAGUGUGUGCCCGGAGUUUUCCUUUAGUUAGCCAAGUUUUUGCAGGAAGGCAGAGCUCCAGUGUUUGGUUACAAACUUGCAGAUGUACAUCCUUGAGGAUGAUUAUCUCCAUUUUCUAUAAUGCAAAAAAACAUGGUGAGAUGUUGUCGUGAAACUGAGGGGCGAGGUACGAUGUGUCCACACUGCUCACUUCCCCGUGAAAAAUAAUUCUG